This is a long non-coding RNA of Glycine soja, 458 nucleotides long. RefSeq lists it as uncharacterized. NCBI's taxonomy places the organism in Eukaryota, Viridiplantae, Streptophyta, Magnoliopsida, Fabales, Fabaceae. The record is from RefSeq and is a predicted model, not a curated record. The transcript is spliced from 2 exons.
AAUAGCCUUUGUCUGACUGCUUUUGGCUACAGAACUGACAGGACACCAUUGAUGGAGACUAUUCAUCACCAUCCGGUGAUAUUUCCCAGACACAAAAUGACCCACUCUGCUUAAAAUGCGUCUAACUUAUCGCAACAAUUUGAGGAAGGGAGUGGGUUGCAGCGGAGGGAAAGGAGGUGGGCCGCGGCAGAAGAAGAAGAAAAAAAGAAAACACAUGUGAGAGGGAGAAAAAAAAAGAAGAAAAAAGACAACGUGUGAAAGGAGAAAGAAGAGGAAAAUUAAGAGAUAGCGUGUGUGAUGAGCAGACAGAGCAGAAAAAAUGAGAAGGACAGGGUGAAUCUUCACUUUGUAUACAAAUGACCGUUAUUGUAUACGAUGACCCUGUGUAUAUAAUGAUCAUACAUACAUAAAUUUCUUUUGAUCUAAAAUUUAUAAAAUUGUCCUCCAUUUUUUUUUCU